This 372-nucleotide ribosomal RNA is filed under the name uncultured eukaryote. Its description in RNAcentral is "partial 18S ribosomal RNA". It matches the Rfam family "Eukaryotic small subunit ribosomal RNA", at positions 592 to 976 of the family's 1831-position model. The record is from RNAcentral.
CAAUAGCGUAUAUUAAAGUUGUUACAGUUAAAAAGCUCGUAGUUGAAUUUCUGUCAAUUGCAGGCUAGGUCGCGAAAGUGAUUUCAGGUCAGCGUUGAUAUAUUUUGAGGUGCUCAGCUCCUUCAGUGGAGAGGAGUAUGCUCAGAAAGUUACUUUGAGAAAAUUAGAGUGUUUCGAGCAGGCAUUUGCCUUGAAUACUACAGCAUGGAAUAACGCGAUAGGACUUUGGUCCUUUCUUGUUGGUUCAGAGGACUAAGGUAAUGAUUAACAGGGACAGUCGGGGGCAUUCGUAUUUAACUGUCAGAGGUGAAAUUCUUAGAUUUGUUAAAGACGAACUACUGCGAAAGCAUUUGCCAAGGAUGUUCCCAUUAA